CCAGAUCCUGCCCCAUAGAUCCGGAUUCUGCCCCAUAGAUCCCAGAUCCUGCCCCAUAGAUCCCCUUAUCCUGCCCCACAGAUGCCCAUAGAUCCCCUCGUCCUGCCCCAUAGAUCCCAGAUCCCGCCCCACAGAUCCCCAUAUUGCCCCAUAUCCUGCCCCACAGAUCCCAGAUCCUGCCCCAUAGAUCCCCUUAUCCUGCCCCACAGAUGCCCAUAGAUCCCCUCGUCCUGCCCCAUAGACCCCUUAUCCCGCCCCAUAGAUGCCCAUAGUGCCCCAUAUCCUGCCCCAUAGAUCCCAGAUCCUGCCCCAUAGCGCCCCCCACCCUGCCCCACAUCCAACUCCAAGCUGGGACCAAAGCACCCCCUAAUCCCCCCCCCCAGAAGCCUCAUAGCCUCAAAUCCUAANNNNNNNNNNCCCCCAACGAAGCCAUUUAACCCCCCCCCCAAAGUCAAACAACCCCCCCCCAAAAAAAAUGAAAUCUGGGAGGGACCCCAAAAUGGGGGGGGACCCCAAAACAGGGGGGGAGACCCCGAAAUAUGAAGAGGACCCUGAAAGUGGGGGAGACCCUGAAAUAGGGGAGGGACCCCAAAAUGGGGGAGGGACCCCGAAAUAGGAGAGGGACCCCAAAACGGGGGGGGCACCCCAAAAUGGGGGGGGCACCCCGAAAUGGUGCCGUACCCGCCUUGCUGCAGUCGACGGUGAAGGAAUUCUUCUGGCCCACGAAGGCUUUGCUGAGCCCCAGCCCCUUGGCCACCACCUUGGAGGCGUCCGAAAAUUUGGGGGAGCUCUCGCGAAGGCUGUGGCUGCUCACUAAGCGGGGGCCUGCGGGGGUAAAAAUGGGUAAAAAUGAGGAAAAAUUGGUUAAAAUGGGGAAAUCAGCCCCAAAACGGACCCUGAAAGGGGAGCGGUGCCCCCCAGAAAAUACCUCAAAGGUUCCUGCCCCCCCCCCAUGCUCAGCACAGCCCCCCCAGAGCGCUUCCAUCUAAUUAAGUGCUCCCAAA
RNAcentral lists this long non-coding RNA (1004 nucleotides) under Anas zonorhyncha (Eastern spot-billed duck). RNAcentral's name for it is "lncRNA (ENSAZOG00000013100.1)". The record is from RNAcentral. Lineage: Eukaryota; Metazoa; Chordata; Aves; Anseriformes; Anatidae.